This 253-nucleotide ribosomal RNA is filed under the name uncultured bacterium. RNAcentral describes it as "partial 16S ribosomal RNA". It matches the Rfam family "Bacterial small subunit ribosomal RNA", at positions 524 to 776 of the family's 1533-position model. The record is from RNAcentral.
GACAGAGGGUGCAAACGUUGCUCGGAAUCACUGGGCGUAAAGGGCGUGUAGGCGGGCCGGUAAGUCGGGCGUGAAAUCCCUGGGCUCAACCCAGGAACUGCACUCGAAACUACUUGUCUUGAGUGUCGGAGAGGAAAGCGGAAUUCCUGGUGUAGAGGUGAAAUUCGUAGAUAUCAGGAGGAACACCAGUGGCGAAGGCGGCUUUCUGGACGAUAACUGACGCUGAGACGCGAAAGCGUGGGGAGCAAACAGG